CCUACGGGAGGCAGCAGUGGGGAAUAUUGCACAAUGGGGGAAACCCUGAUGCAGCGACGCCGCGUGAGUGAAGAAGUAUUUCGGUACGUAAAGCUCUAUCAGCAGGGAAGAAAAUGACGGUACCUGACUAAGAAGCCCCGGCUAACUACGUGCCAGAAGCCGCGGUAAUACGUAGGGGGCCAGCGUUAUCCGGCUUUACUGGGAGUAAAGGGAGCGUAGACGGCAGCGCAAGUCUGGAGUGAAAUCCCAUGGCUUAACCAUGGAACUGCUUGGGAAACUGUGCAGCUAGAGUGCAGGAGAGGUAAGCGGAAUUCCUAGUGUAGCGGUGAAAUGCGUAGAUAUUAGGAGGAACACCAGUGGCGAAGGCGGCUUACUGGACUGUAACUGACGUUGAGGCUCGAAAGCGUGGGGAGCAAACAGGAUUAGAUACCCUUGUAGUC
This 440-nucleotide ribosomal RNA is filed under the name uncultured bacterium. Its description in RNAcentral is "partial 16S ribosomal RNA". It matches the Rfam family "Bacterial small subunit ribosomal RNA", at positions 338 to 795 of the family's 1533-position model. The record is from RNAcentral.